GACGAACGCUGGCGGCGUGCUUAACACAUGCAAGUCGAACGGAAAGGCCCUGCUUUUGUGGGGUGCUCGAGUGGCGAACGGGUGAGUAACACGUGAGUAACCUGCCCUUGACUUUGGGAUAACUUCAGGAAACUGGGGCUAAUACCGGAUAGGAGCUCCUGCUGCAUGGUGGGGGUUGGAAAGUUUCGGCGGUUGGGGAUGGACUCGCGGCUUAUCAGCUUGUUGGUGGGGUAGUGGCUUACCAAGGCUUUGACGGGUAGCCGGCCUGAGAGGGUGACCGGCCACAUUGGUACUGCGAUACGGCCCAGAAUCCUACGGGAGGCAGCAGUGGGGAAUAUUGCAGAAUGGGCGGAAGCCUGAUGCAGAAACGCCGCGUGCGGGAUGACGGCCUUCGGGUUGUAAACCGCUUUCGCCUGUGACGAAGCGUGAGAGACGGUAAUGGGUAAAGAAGCACCGGCUAACUACGUG
RNAcentral lists this ribosomal RNA (468 nucleotides) under uncultured bacterium. RNAcentral describes it as "partial 16S ribosomal RNA". It matches the Rfam family "Bacterial small subunit ribosomal RNA", at positions 28 to 507 of the family's 1533-position model. The record is from RNAcentral.